RNAcentral lists this non-coding RNA (30 nucleotides) under Mus musculus (house mouse). The record is from RNAcentral. Lineage: Eukaryota; Metazoa; Chordata; Mammalia; Rodentia; Muridae.
UGCAUCUAUCCUUGUGCAGCUGUGUUCCUU